This 257-nucleotide ribosomal RNA is filed under the name uncultured bacterium. RNAcentral's name for it is "partial 16S ribosomal RNA". It matches the Rfam family "Bacterial small subunit ribosomal RNA", at positions 524 to 776 of the family's 1533-position model. The record is from RNAcentral.
UACGUAGGGUGCAAGCGUUGUCCGGAAUUAUUGGGCGUAAAGAGCUCGUAGGCGGUUCUGUCGCGUCUGCUGUGAAAACCUAGGGCUUAACUCUGGGCGUGCAGUGGGUACGGGCAGGCUAGAGUGCGGGUAGGGGGAGACUGGAAUUCCUGGUGUAAGCGGUGAAAUGCGCAGAUAUCAGGAGGAACACCGGUGGCGAAGGCGGGUCUCUGGGCCGUAACUGACGCUGAGGAGCGAAAGCAUGGGGAGCGAACAGG